This is a non-coding RNA of Triticum aestivum (bread wheat), 79 nucleotides long. NCBI's taxonomy places the organism in Eukaryota, Viridiplantae, Streptophyta, Magnoliopsida, Poales, Poaceae. The record is from Rfam.
UGGCAGUGACCACACCUGCGCUUCUGUUAAUCUGUGAAGCACAAGAGAAAACAGUGGUUGAAUUUCUUCAAAUGAACUA